RNAcentral lists this ribosomal RNA (448 nucleotides) under Petrolisthes galathinus (banded porcelain crab). RNAcentral's name for it is "partial 16S large subunit ribosomal RNA". It matches the Rfam family "Bacterial large subunit ribosomal RNA", at positions 1852 to 2548 of the family's 2925-position model. Lineage: Eukaryota; Metazoa; Arthropoda; Malacostraca; Decapoda; Porcellanidae. The record is from RNAcentral.
GUCUAUUCUGCCCAUUGAAUAAAAAUUUAAAAGGCCGCAGUAUUCUGACUGUGCAAAGGUAGCAUAAUCAUUAGUUUUUUAAUUGAAGGCUUGUAUGAAUGAUUGGACAAGAAUUAAGCUGUCUCUUUCAAUAAUAUUUGAAUUUUAUUUUUAAGUGAAAAAGCUUAAAUUAUUAAGAAAGACGAUUAGACCCUAUAAAUCUUUAUGUAAAUUAAUUUUUAAGUUAAAAUAUAAGGCUAAUUAGGCUUAAAGAAUUAAUUCAUUGUGCUGGGGCGGUAGUGAUAUAAAGAAAGAACUGUCAUUAUAAAAAACAAGUAUAUUUGUAAAGUAAAAGAUCCUGAUAUUUGGAUUUAAAGUGAAAGUUACUUUAGGGAUAACAGCAUAAUUUAUUUUCAGAGUUCAAAUCGAAAAAGAAGCUUGUGACCUCGAUGUUGAAUUAAGAGAUCCU